Molecule: ribosomal RNA, 1189 nt
Filed under: metagenome
Description: bacterial SSU rRNA
Rfam family: Bacterial small subunit ribosomal RNA
Source: RNAcentral
UAGCGGGUCUGAGAGGAUGAUCCGCCACACUGGAACUGAGACACGGUCCAGACUCCUACGGGAGGCAGCAGUGGGGAAUUUUGGACAAUGGGGGCAACCCUGAUCCAGCCAUGCCGCGUGAGUGAAGAAGGCCUUCGGGUUGUAAGCUCUUUCGGCCGGGAAGAAAUCGCAUGGGCCAAUACCCUGUGUGGAUGACGGUACCGGAAUAAGAAGCACCGGCUAACUACGUGCCAGCAGCCGCGGUAAUACGUAGGGUGCGAGCGUUAAUCGGAAUUACUGGGCGUAAAGCGUGCGCAGGCGGUUUUGUAAGACAGGCGUGAAAUCCCCGGGCUCAACCUGGGAACUGCGUUUGUGACUGCAAGGCUAGAGUACGGCAGAGGGGGGUGGAAUUCCACGUGUAGCAGUGAAAUGCGUAGAGAUGUGGAGGAACACCAAUGGCGAAGGCAGCCCCCUGGGUCGAUACUGACGCUCAUGCACGAAAGCGUGGGUAGCAAACAGGAUUAGAUACCCUGGUAGUCCACGCCCUAAACUAUGUCAACUAGGUGUUGGGUGGGUAAAACCAUUUAGUACCGUAGCUAACGCGUGAAGUUGACCGCCUGGGGAGUACGGCCGCAAGGUUAAAACUCAAAGGAAUUGACGGGGACCCGCACAAGCGGUGGAUGAUGUGGAUUAAUUCGAUGCAACGCGAAAAACCUUACCUACCCUUGACAUGCCAGGAACUUGCCAGAGAUGGCUUGGUGCCCGAAAGGGAGCCUGGACACAGGUGCUGCAUGGCUGUCGUCAGCUCGUGUCGUGAGAUGUUGGGUUAAGUCCCGCAACGAGCGCAACCCUUGUCGUUAAUUGCCAUCAUUUAGUUGGGCACUUUAGCGAGACUGCCGGUGACAAACCGGAGGAAGGUGGGGAUGACGUCAAGUCCUCAUGGCCCUUAUGGGUAGGGCUUCACACGUCAUACAAUGGUCGGUACAGAGGGUCGCCAAGCCGCGAGGUGGAGCCAAUCCCAGAAAGCCGAUCGUAGCCCGGAUUGCAGGCUGCAACUCGCCUGCAUGAAGUCGGAAUCGCUAGUAAUCGUGGAUCAGCAUGUCACGGUGAAUACGUUCCCGGGUCUUGUACACACCGCCCGUCACACCAUGGGAGCGGGUUCCGCCAGAAGUAGGUAGCCUAACCGCAAGGAGGGCGCUUACCACGGCGG